RNAcentral lists this ribosomal RNA (468 nucleotides) under uncultured bacterium. RNAcentral describes it as "partial 16S ribosomal RNA". It matches the Rfam family "Bacterial small subunit ribosomal RNA", at positions 28 to 507 of the family's 1533-position model. The record is from RNAcentral.
GACGAACGCUUGCGGCGGGCUUAAUACAUGCAAGUCGAACGGAUAUGCCCUUCUUUUGUGGGGUGCUCGAGUGGCGAACGGGUGAGUAACACGUGAGUAACCUGCCCUUGACUUUGGGAUAACUGCAUGAAACUGGGGCUAAUACCUGAUAGGAGCUCCUGCUGCAUUGUGUGUGUCGGAAUGUCUCGGUGGUUGGGGACGGACUCGCGGCUUAUGAGCUUGUUGGUUGGGUAGUGGUUUACCAAGGCUGUGACGGGUAGCCGGCCUGAAGGGAUGACCGGCAACGUUGGGACUGAGAUACGGCCCAGAAUGGUAGGGGGGGGAGAAGUGAGGAAUACUGGCCAAUGGACGGAAGCCAGAUGAAGCAAAGCAGCGUGAGGGAUAACGGCAUUCGCGUUGUAAGCAGCAUUCAACUGUGACGAAGCGUGAGUGACGGUAAUGGGUAAAGAAGCGCCGGCUACCUACGUG